RNAcentral lists this signal recognition particle RNA (100 nucleotides) under Bacillota bacterium. RNAcentral describes it as "signal recognition particle sRNA small type". It matches the Rfam family "Bacterial small signal recognition particle RNA". Rfam says of the family: The signal recognition particle (SRP) is a universally conserved ribonucleoprotein involved in the co-translational targeting of proteins to membranes. Archaeal SRP consists of a 7S RNA and homologues of the eukaryotic SRP19 and SRP54 proteins. In most bacteria, the SRP consists of a 4.5S RNA and the Ffh protein (a homologue of the eukaryotic SRP54 protein). RNAcentral also lists the same sequence under 1 other name. The record is from RNAcentral. Lineage: Bacteria; Bacillati; Bacillota.
UCUGGGGUCCUGCGCAAUAAGAACCUGUGAACCUCGUCAGGUCCGGAAGGAAGCAGCGAUAAGCGGGACCUCUUAUGUGCCGCAGAUCAGCCUCUUUCAU